Molecule: transfer RNA, 85 nt
Filed under: Felis catus (domestic cat)
Lineage: Eukaryota; Metazoa; Chordata; Mammalia; Carnivora; Felidae
Also listed under: 2 other names
Rfam family: tRNA
About the family: Transfer RNA (tRNA) molecules are approximately 80 nucleotides in length. Their secondary structure includes four short double-helical elements and three loops (D, anti-codon, and T loops).
Source: Rfam by way of RNAcentral
CCUUGGGUGGCUCAGUCGGUUAAGCAUCUGACUUUGGCUCAGGUCAUGAGCUUGGGGUUUGUGGGUUCGAGCCCCACAUCGGGGC